This 876-nucleotide small RNA is filed under the name Pongo abelii (Sumatran orangutan). Its description in RNAcentral is "processed transcript". Lineage: Eukaryota; Metazoa; Chordata; Mammalia; Primates; Hominidae. The record is from RNAcentral.
GGGAUGGGAAGUGAAGCCCCAGCGAGCGGCUGCAGCGGGGCGGUGAAGAGCAGCCAGGGCGAGGCGGCGGCGGCGGCUAGUCGGUGAGCAGCUGGGAAGAGCAGAACCGGGGCGGAGCACCUGCAGGCGCGGGCGGCGGCCCCACCAUGGCGAUUCGCAAGAAAAGCACCAAGAGCCCCCCGGUGCUGAGCCACGAAUUCGUCCUGCAGAAUCACGCGGACAUCGUCUCCUGUGUGGCGAUGGUCUUCCUGCUGGGGCUCAUGUUUGAGAUAACGGCAAAAGCUUCUAUCAUUUUUGUUACUCUUCAGUACAAUGUCACCCUCCCCGCAACAGAAAAUUAACAGGCGAAUGCACUUCUCCAAAACGAAACACAGCAAGUUUAAUGAAUCUGGUCAGCUUAGUGCGUUCUACCUUUUUGCCUGUGUUUGGGGCACAUUCAUUCUCAUCUCUUGUCUCUACUACUAUAAACAUAACAAUAUUAGAGGAAGGUCAAAUUGUCAGCAUGUAACUAUGAUUAAUGUUGUGUCAUUUAAUACAUGUUCAUUAGAAAAAAGAGCCAUAGAUCUUAGCUCUAAAAGGGAUUUUGAGUUUAUCUGAUUGAAGCAAAUCUAAGAAGAUAUUCCUCGUCAGCUUGUCUACAUUGGUCUUUACCUCUUCCACAUUGCUGGAGCUUACCUUUUGAACUUGAAUCAUCUAGGACUUGUUCUUCUGGUGCUACAUUAUUUUGUUGAAUUUCUUUUCCAUAUUUCCCGCCUGUUUUAUUUUAGCAAUGAAAAGUAUCAGAAAGGAUUUUCUCUGUGGGCAGUUCUUUUUGUUUUGGGAAGACUUCUGACUUUAAUUCUUUCAGUACUGACUGUUGGUUUUGGCCUUGCAAGA